This is a transfer RNA of Caenorhabditis briggsae, 60 nucleotides long. It matches the Rfam family "tRNA". Rfam says of the family: Transfer RNA (tRNA) molecules are approximately 80 nucleotides in length. Their secondary structure includes four short double-helical elements and three loops (D, anti-codon, and T loops). The record is from Rfam. NCBI's taxonomy places the organism in Eukaryota, Metazoa, Nematoda, Chromadorea, Rhabditida, Rhabditidae.
ACCUGUGUAGUACUCCACGUUGUGGCCGUGGCGACGCUGGUUCGAUUCCAGCAGCAGGCA